AUACGGAGGGUGCAAGCGUUAAUCGGAAUUACUGGGCGUAAAGCGUACGUAGGCGGUUAUUUAAGUCAGAUGUGAAAGCCCCGGGCUUAACUUGGGAACUGCAUUUGAAACUGGGUAACUAGAGUUUAGUAGAGGGGAGUGGAAUUUCAGGUGUAGCGGUGAAAUGCGUAGAGAUCUGAAGGAACACCUGUGGCGAAGGCGACUCCCUGGACUAAAACUGACGCUGAGGUACGAAAGCGUGGGUAGCAAACAGGAUUAGAAACCCUAGUAGUCC
Molecule: ribosomal RNA, 274 nt
Filed under: uncultured bacterium
Lineage: Bacteria
Description: partial 16S ribosomal RNA
Rfam family: Bacterial small subunit ribosomal RNA
Source: RNAcentral